RNAcentral lists this long non-coding RNA (744 nucleotides) under Drosophila guanche. Lineage: Eukaryota; Metazoa; Arthropoda; Insecta; Diptera; Drosophilidae. The record is from RNAcentral.
UCGCACCAACCCAUAAUUUUUUCCGACGAGACCUCCUUAUAUAGUUGCUUUAUGCUUACGGCUACAGCUUUUGGAGGGGGUAAAUUAGUUAGACUAAGUGCAUGCUGCACAGAGCAAAAAUUUGAUUUAAAGUUGAAAGACAUAAUUAAUGUGCGCAUAGAGAAUAUAUAAAAAACGUUGUGAAAAUUCUGCAAAUAUAAAAGGGAACAUAGAUCCCAGAAAAACAAUCUGAAAAGUUUGGUGGCUGCAGCGAAACAAAAAAAUAACAAACCCUGGAUAAGGUACGCAAAGAAUUAAUGGAAAAAGUAACCUUAUUACAUAAUCUCAUGUAUAUACAUAUAAAUAGGUUAUGAACCACGUGGGGCAGUAUAACUGCUGACCUGGCCGAUCUGGGCCUGACCAUCGCUCUCGGACGUGGUCCACUCCAACAUCACGAUCAUCAGUCCCAUCAUUUUUUUGCUACAGCGAUCUCCUCAGUCUCUCCUAUCGAAAUCAUUAUAUAUAUAUAUUUUUCAAAGACAAAACUGUAAAUAACUAUACAAAAAAAAAAUUUUUUUAAUUCAAAGCGUUAAAAUUAAAUGAAGAUAAUAAAGUUUUACGGGUCUAUGCGAACAUUCAUCGAGAAUAGGUAGGUAAUACAGCCGAUUACUAAUCCAGAUACAAAGGAUUCUAAGAAAAAAUACUUAAGCGGACGAUAAUAGCCUGGCGCCAAUGUAUCGUAUCCAGCGAAUAUCUACAAACUAU